Schistocerca gregaria is the source of this 1133-nucleotide RNA transcript. RefSeq lists it as uncharacterized. The record is from RefSeq and is a predicted model, not a curated record. The transcript has 3 exons. NCBI's taxonomy places the organism in Eukaryota, Metazoa, Arthropoda, Insecta, Orthoptera, Acrididae.
AAAUUCUUAAAGCUUUUAAAAUAAAACAGAUGUUAUUAACAUUCACCAUCUUUAUUCUCAAUGUCUACAUAUUAAUUUCACAGUUUGGUUACCCUGGCGACGAACACAUUUCUCCUAACGGAAGUGCCAGUGUCGUCGUAACUGCCGUCUGCUUCACAUCUGCUGUGCAGCGAGCUGCGUUAAUAACCAACAAAUUGCUGCUUUGCUGACGACUGUGGAACAAUUUCUGGCUGCAUAAGCCGCGACGGCGGCACAACAACAACCGACCGACCGCCUAGCCCAACAAAUGACGCCGACCAGCAUACCAACGAAUCGGCAAUUUAAUGACACAGAAGAGGAAUGGUUCGAAUACCUGUCGCAGUUCCAAGCACAUUGUCAAGUUCAUCGUGUGCAAGAUUCACGGCUUCAUGGGAUUGCGCAGCCUUAUCAGUCGCCUGCUGGUGCUACCAGGGCACCUCAAGAGGAGUGAAUGGACGACGGGCCUUGACCCCGCCGCCCCCACUUGUCGACUCCAUUUACCUGGACCAACCAUCGCCAUCGCCGUCGCCGUCGCUGUCAUCGCCCCAGGACCAGCCCUCAGACCUGGACGUAUGCCCUGGCAGCAGUUUUCUGGAGCACGUCCCUGUUGCCUCGCAAGCCAGAUGGUGUGGUACAGUCGGGAGUAUGCUGUCUUCCACAGCUACAGCUUGUAGCUCAUCUCAACGUCCAGGGACCUGGCUCUCUCCCCAUUGUCGUUCACAGCCUCAUUACAUGACAGUGGUGCGGCAUAUGGUGGGGAGUGGGGGGAGGAAAGUGCUGGCAUAAGCUGUCGCCAGUACAUCAGACAGCAAAUAGGUUGCAAGAAGAUCGACAGAGGCCAAAGACAGACUCGCAAGAAACGUGCCGCCAACGCCCUCUCUACAUCUGUAUUUAGAUUACUGCCACAGACCGAAUAGUCAGUCAGUCAUCCAGUGAGACACCAAGUCGAGGCAUCAGUCACAGCCCAGUCGCAGAGAGUCAGUUAGCACCUAGCGACCAGAGUAGUGUACAUGACACACUUGUACUUCAUCAGACUAACGUGGACUGUUAUGGAACAGCUUGUACCAUAGCAACUAGCUUAAGUGAAGUAGCUUUCUCAUUCUUAUGAAUAAAGA